Molecule: ribosomal RNA, 253 nt
Filed under: uncultured bacterium
Lineage: Bacteria
Description: partial 16S ribosomal RNA
Rfam family: Bacterial small subunit ribosomal RNA
Source: RNAcentral
UACGGAGGGUGCAAGCGUUAUCCGGAUUUACUGGGUUUAAAGGGUGCGUAGGCGGGUGGGUAAGUCAGAGGUGAAAUCUCCAAGCUUAACUUGGAAACUGCCCCUGAUACUAUCCAUCUUGAAUAUCGAUGAGGCGGGCGGAAUACAUCAUGUAGCGGUGAAAUGCUUAGAUAUGAUGUAGAACACCGAUUGCGAAGGCAGCUCGCUAACCGAUUAUUGACGCUGAGGCACGAAAGCGUGGGGAUCAAACAGG